Long non-coding RNA from Mustela erminea (ermine), 472 nucleotides. RefSeq lists it as uncharacterized. NCBI's taxonomy places the organism in Eukaryota, Metazoa, Chordata, Mammalia, Carnivora, Mustelidae. The record is from RefSeq and is a predicted model, not a curated record. The transcript has 3 exons.
GUGCCUGAUGAGCUGUGCCCCAGAGGGACUCCCUCACAGCCAGAGCAAGUGUCCCCAAGAUGAUGUCCCAUGGGGCCCCGGGCUAUUAAAGAAAUACGUGGAAGAUCAGGAGCCUCUCAAACAGAGAGGUGGGCUUUGAGAUGGGCAGUGAGAUGAUCCACCUCUGCGUGGAAAGUUCUCUCUGAGUGCAGUGUGGAGCGAGCAAGGGAGGAGGCCAUGAAAAGCCAGCAGCCCCCAGGAGUGGCCCCAGGUGCCCAGGGCGGGACAAGGAGGAGAUAGACCCAUCCCCACCACUGAAAAGAGUAGCCAAAGGACUAGACACUUGCUUUUGGGGGGCCCGUGCAGGGUGCAGUGGGAUCCUGUGAUGGCCCGAGAUGGGAUGAUGCUGGAGCUAUGUUCUUCUGGGACAGGAUUGCUGCUGAACACGAUCUUCCUGCUGGGGAACUGGGCGGCCCUAAGGAUCGGGAGAAGG